This 463-nucleotide ribosomal RNA is filed under the name uncultured bacterium. RNAcentral's name for it is "partial 16S ribosomal RNA". It matches the Rfam family "Bacterial small subunit ribosomal RNA", at positions 28 to 507 of the family's 1533-position model. The record is from RNAcentral.
GAUGAACGCUGACAGAAUGCUUAACACAUGCAAGUCGAUGGGGAAGUGGUGCUUGCACCAUGGUAACCAUGGCGGACGGGUGAGUAACGCGUAAGGAACCUGCCUGCGGGACUGGGAUAACAGCAGGAAACUGCUGAUAAUACCGGAUAAGGUCAUUAAGCUGCAUAGCUUAGUGAUGAAAGGAGACGCCUGCGGAGAGCCUUGCGUCCUAUUAGCUAGUUGGAGGGGUAACGGCCCACCAAGGCGAAGAUAGGUAGCCGGCCUGAGAGGGUGGACGGCCACAAGGGGACUGAGAUACGGCCCUUACUCCUACGGGAGGCAGCAGUGGGGAAUAUUGGACAAUGGGGGCAACCCUGAUCCAGCAAUUCUGUGUGCACGAAGACGGUUUUCGGAUUGUAAAGUGCUUUCAGCAGGGAAGAAGGAAGUGACGGUACCUGCAGAAGAAGCGACGGCUAAAUACGUG